RNAcentral lists this non-coding RNA (19 nucleotides) under Arabidopsis thaliana (thale cress). RNAcentral also lists the same sequence under 2 other names. The record is from RNAcentral. Lineage: Eukaryota; Viridiplantae; Streptophyta; Magnoliopsida; Brassicales; Brassicaceae.
UUGUGAAGCAGAAUUCACC